GUUCCUUCAGGAGUCAGCAUUCUUACUGGAUGCCCCUGGCAAGUCUGUGACAGUGGAUGCUGAAGACAGAACUGGAAAUCCUUUUGGAGGAUAUGAAUUUCCAGCCUCCCAGAAGACUGCCAAGCCUGCAGAUGAAGGCUCUGUAGAGGAGCAGCUGGGCCUGGCCCAGGCAGAGGGUUCAGUGGAGCAAAGUUACCCCACAAUGGCAGCUGGACAUUCUGGAGAAGGAACUCCUGCUGCAGGAAGCCGAGGACCAGCUUGCCUCCCUGACAUGGUCUUCAGUUCAAUGACAGACCCAGGAAGGCAGCCAGAGCUGACAGGCCUGGAGGGGACAGAGGCCAUCCAGAGCCUGCAGGUGAUGGAGCAUGUUGAAGCCCAUGUAUCUAGUGAGCCAGGGGCCUUGGCUGAGGAGGAGGACUGUGAAUGCAAUAUUGACAAAGAGCUGUCCUAUGAGAUGUCUGAAGAGAACCAAAAAUUCCCAGUGCUCUUGAAGAGGUGUGGAGACUACAGAAAAAGCCAGAGAUGCGUAUCCUGAGAUGCGUUGGAAGGCCACAGUGGCCAAGACCUGUUUCUACAUGAAGAUGAUGAGGGCACAGCAGGAUUAGUAGAGAGUAAAAAGCACUGCAGAAGGCAAGGGCAACCCAAGUUCUUGUUAAAAGAUCCUUUGGGGUGAAACACCACUGAACAGUUGGUGUUUGUAAAUAUAAACAUGUAGGGUUUAUUACAGAAUAGUUUGGUUGCAAAGGAAAACAGGUAUGUAGCAGUUUUGGUUAGUAUUAUCUCUAGUAAUAUAACAACAAGGAAGCAUUACAAUAUAAAAAUGGAACAACAUCACCCAAGGACAUGCACAAGGGAAAAGAAAGAGAAAGCACAAGAAUGUAAUGAACAAAAAAAAAAAGAGAGAGAGAGAAAACACAAGAGUGUGAAGCUCUCACCACCCGUAGGUCCUUCACCAAGACUUGGUUGCUGAGCAAUCUCAGUUAAAGUGGUGAUUGCAAAACUGAUCUGUUGGGUGAUGGGAGAAGUACCAAAGAACUGGCAGGGGAAAAUCCCCAGGAAAAUCUGCUGAACACAAAAUCUAUUUGGUUUAUAGUCAAGUUCAGGUGGGAACACCCACGUGACCAAGGUACCUCCCCCAGGACAGGGAGGUUCACAUUGGAUGAUGUCAUUUUGUGGAUCACUGGACACUUCGGGUGCCCUUGACACCUUCUGAGAAAACAUAGCUGCCCAAGACAACGUAGGGUCCAAGACAAUACAGUUGCCCACCACGCCAGGGCAGCUGAGUCAAUUAUGGCCCGUUAUGACCCAUCAGCCACAUGACCCUCAGGCCACGUAUGAAUGUCCCCGGUACCUGGGGAAGUGGAGGUGGAGGUGGUGGGAGAGGGAGG
This 1388-nucleotide long non-coding RNA is filed under the name Cyanistes caeruleus (blue tit). RNAcentral describes it as "lncRNA (ENSCCEG00000009957.1)". Lineage: Eukaryota; Metazoa; Chordata; Aves; Passeriformes; Paridae. The record is from RNAcentral.